This 200-nucleotide ribosomal RNA is filed under the name uncultured prokaryote. Its description in RNAcentral is "partial 16S ribosomal RNA". It matches the Rfam family "Bacterial small subunit ribosomal RNA", at positions 1182 to 1382 of the family's 1533-position model. The record is from RNAcentral.
AUGUCAAAUCAUCAUGCCCCUUAUGUCUUGGGCUACAAACGUGCUACAAUGGCGCAGACAAAGUGAAGCAAGGGCGCGAGCCGGAGCCAAACACGAAAAGGCGCCUCAGUUCGGAUUGCAGGCUGCAACCCGCCUGCAUGAAGUUGGAAUCGCUAGUAAUCGCGAAUCAGCAUGUCGCGGUGAAUACGUUCCCGGGCCUU